Molecule: transfer RNA, 73 nt
Filed under: Candidatus Azosocius agrarius
Lineage: Bacteria; Pseudomonadati; Pseudomonadota; Gammaproteobacteria; Candidatus Azoamicaceae
Description: tRNA-His
Rfam family: tRNA
About the family: Transfer RNA (tRNA) molecules are approximately 80 nucleotides in length. Their secondary structure includes four short double-helical elements and three loops (D, anti-codon, and T loops). Further hydrogen bonds mediate the characteristic L-shaped molecular structure. tRNAs have two regions of fundamental functional importance: the anti-codon, which is responsible for specific mRNA codon recognition, and the 3' end, to which the tRNAs corresponding amino acid is attached (by aminoacyl-tRNA synthetases). tRNAs cope with the degeneracy of the genetic code in two manners: having more than one tRNA (with a specific anti-codon) for a particular amino acid; and 'wobble' base-pairing, i.e. permitting non-standard base-pairing at the 3rd anti-codon position.
Source: RNAcentral
GUGAAUAUAGCUUAAUUGGUAGAGCUCUGGAUUGUGAUUCCAGUGGUUGUGGGUUCGAUUCCCAUUAUUCACC